RNAcentral lists this ribosomal RNA (530 nucleotides) under Anaplasma bovis. RNAcentral's name for it is "bacterial SSU rRNA". It matches the Rfam family "Bacterial small subunit ribosomal RNA", at positions 90 to 655 of the family's 1533-position model. The record is from RNAcentral. Lineage: Bacteria; Pseudomonadati; Pseudomonadota; Alphaproteobacteria; Rickettsiales; Anaplasmataceae.
AAUUAGUGGCAGACGGGUGAGUAAUGCAUAGGAAUCUACCUAGUAGUAUAGGAUAGCCACUAGAAAUGGUGGGUAAUACUGUAUAAUCCCUGCGGGGGAAAGAUUUAUCGCUACAUGAUGAGCCUAUGUUAGAUUAGCUAGUUGGUGGGGUAAUGGCCUACCAAGGCAGUGAUCUAUAGCUGGUCUGAGAGGAUGAUCAGCCACACUGGAACUGAGACACGGUCCAGACUCCUACGGGAGGCAGCAGUGGGGAAUAUUGGACAAUGGGCGCAAGCCUGAUCCAGCUAUGCCGCGUGAGUGAGGAAGGCCUUAGGGUUGUAAAACUCUUUCAGUGGGGAAGAUAAUGACGGUACCCACAGAAGAAGUCCCGGCAAACUCCGUGCCAGCAGCCGCGGUAAUACGGAGGGGGCAAGCGUUGUUCGGAAUUAUUGGGCGUAAAGGGCAUGUAGGUGGUUUGGUAAGUUAAAGGUGAAAUGCCAGGGCUUAACCCUGGAGCUGCUUUUAAUACUGCCAGACUGGAGUCCGGGAGA